CCUACGGGGCGCUGCAGUGGGGAAUAUUGGACAAUGGGCGAAAGCCUGAUCCAGCCAUGCCGCGUGUGUGAAGAAGGCCUUCGGGUUGUAAAGCACUUUCAGUGGGGAAGAAAGCCUUGGGGCUAAUACCCUCGAGGAAGGACAUCACCCACAGAAGAAGCACCGGCUAACUCCGUGCCAGCAGCCGCGGUAAUACGGAGGGUGCGAGCGUUAAUCGGAAUUACUGGGCGUAAAGCGCGCGUAGGCGGUCUGAUAAGCCGGUUGUGAAAGCCCCGGGCUCAACCUGGGAACGGCAUCCGGAACUGUCAGGCUAGAGUGCAGGAGAGGAAGGUAGAAUUCCCGGUGUAGCGGUGAAAUGCGUAGAGAUCGGGAGGAAUAACAGUGGCGAAGGCGGCCUUCUGGACUGACACUGACGCUGAGGUGCGAAAGCGUGGGUAGCAAACAGGAUUAGAUACCCCAGUAGUC
This 465-nucleotide ribosomal RNA is filed under the name Vreelandella stevensii. RNAcentral's name for it is "partial 16S ribosomal RNA". It matches the Rfam family "Bacterial small subunit ribosomal RNA", at positions 338 to 795 of the family's 1533-position model. The record is from RNAcentral. Lineage: Bacteria; Pseudomonadati; Pseudomonadota; Gammaproteobacteria; Oceanospirillales; Halomonadaceae.